AACGUAGGUUCCGAGCGUUAUCCGGAUUUACUGGGCGUAAAGCGCGUUCAGGCGGUUUGGCAAGUCGGGCAUGAAAUCUCUCGGCUCAACCGGGAGAGGUUGUCCGAUACUGCUGGACUUGAGGGCAGUAGAGGGUGGUGGAAUUCCGGGUGUAGUGGUGAAAUGCGUAGAUAUCCGGAGGAACACCAGUGGCGAAAGCGGCCACCUGGACUGUACCUGACGCUCAAACGCGAAAGCCAGGGGAGCAAACGGG
Molecule: ribosomal RNA, 253 nt
Filed under: uncultured bacterium
Lineage: Bacteria
Description: partial 16S ribosomal RNA
Rfam family: Bacterial small subunit ribosomal RNA
Source: RNAcentral